Molecule: long non-coding RNA, 1456 nt
Filed under: Sus scrofa (pig)
Lineage: Eukaryota; Metazoa; Chordata; Mammalia; Artiodactyla; Suidae
Description: lncRNA (ENSSSCG00065044821.1)
Source: RNAcentral
GACUCUGACACAAAGAAUGUCUUCAUCGUAGAGGGGUAGAGGGGAGCGGUUGUUGAAGGGGGUGUCUUUUGAAAACCAAGAGCAGGAUCCAUCUGUGCUUUUGUUGGCUCUAUCGCAGUUGCAUGAAGGCCUGCAAUUACCCAACUGAAUCCGCCUCCAGCCUAGGUAGUUGAUGGUGCUUUUGACUUCCAUUAGAUCAUCUGAAAGAUACCCUUGUCACUGGAUUUCUUACUUCUUCCAGUAGAACUUUACAAAAACUGCCUACAAAGGCAGAGCUGUAUAUGUGCAAUCUACUGAUGCUGUUCCAAUCAGAAGACAACACGUCUUGCUGAUGAUUCAUGCAAUAGAGGAACUAAGAAGAAUCCUUUGCCUCCUUCCCCUCAGUUACUUUUGAGACCACAAAAAGUCUGCAUUAUGCAAGGUAAAAAUGACCUAUUAAAAGCACUGGAGUUAGAAGAAUUCUACCAUUUUUCAAACCAUGAAUGCACAAUUUUUUGUCAUAUGAAGUUAUGCACUGAAAGGAAACUCAUUUUUAAGAUUAUGAGAAAGACAACUUUUUAAUUUUGAAAGCCAGUAAAAUGGGAUUUCCUUAAAAACUCCUUAAAAGACAACUUUUUAAUUUUGAAAGCUAGUAAAAUGGAAUUUCCUUAAAAGAUCUAUGCAGUGUGGGGAAGAAUUAUGUGAUUAGCUGUAUUUGUUUUGUAUCAUCAUUCCUUUGCCAGCUCCACAAAACAAUCUUUAAAAAUAAGUGCGUAGUAAUAAAUAGGAAUGGAAAUGAUUUUAGAUUUUUUUUUUUUUUUUGGUAGUGUUCAAAGGCACCUCAAAGGAUGUGGCAUUUCCUCUGCUUAGGAAGCUCUUUAUCCUGAAACUCUCGAUGGAGAAGAUAAGAAGAAAAUAGAAAGAAAGAUCUCAGCACAACAAAACUCAAAAGAUAGGACAUUUAGAACUUCUCAUGUACAACUGAAACCAGAUCUGGAAGUUUUAGUUACAGGUGUAUAUAUGUAAUACAUUUAUAAAGCAGUAACUCAGAAUCUCUAGUCUACAGUAUAUCUUCAUCUAUAUUACCCUUGAGACUGAGUUUUUGUUUGGCCGCAAAUGGAAUUUUAACUUUGCAGAGGGCUUUCAGUUAGCAGAUAUUCAGUGUGGUAUCAAGAAUCUACACAUCAACUAGAUUGUAGAAAGCUGAGGAGAGUCUAAAAGAAUGGAGGGAGGUCUGUCAUUGCUUUUGCCUCCAGUCUUGGAUUCAUAAACAUCAUCAUUAAGCAUCAUUCCUCCCUUGCUGGGUGACCAUCCACCAGCCAGUCAUCCCAGCUCAAUCCUGGAGCUUCAUCUGUGAAAAAGAAUAAUAUGUUCGUUUUACCACAGUGAUGUGGGGCACGGAGCUGGCAUUUUUUUUGACCCACUUACCAAACUGCAAGAAUCUAGGCUGAAUAAAUAAUAACUGGUUUUGUUGGUA